Medicago truncatula (barrel medic) is the source of this 73-nucleotide microRNA precursor. It matches the Rfam family "MIR2629 microRNA precursor family". The record is from Rfam. Lineage: Eukaryota; Viridiplantae; Streptophyta; Magnoliopsida; Fabales; Fabaceae.
UACCGAGGUUUUCCUCGGCAGUUAACUGCCGCCGGUUUACUAAAAACUUCGGCAGUUUACUGCCGAAGGACAU